Molecule: long non-coding RNA, 810 nt
Filed under: Pan troglodytes (chimpanzee)
Lineage: Eukaryota; Metazoa; Chordata; Mammalia; Primates; Hominidae
Description: long non-coding RNA NONPTRT008045
Source: RNAcentral
GUGGGUAUUGUGACAUAUUACCAUGAUCAACAGCUAAAUGAUGUGACUCUUUUCUGCUGAUUGAGCCCUGCUUAUAGGGGGCAUUGUGACAUUUAGCUUGGCCUUGAACCCAGAUGAUUUAACUCUCCUAUCUGGGCUUUGCCUAUGGAGAACUCUGUGACAUAUCUCUGCACCCAUCAUCUAGGUGAAGUGACUCUCCUCUCCUGUCUUGUUCUGGCUCAAAGAAGGGAAUGUAACAUCACUGGACCCAGCACCUAGGAAGAUUUCCACGUAUUUCUGGGCCCAGCACCUAGGUAACGGGACUCUUCUGCCGAAGCACUGCUUACACAAGCCAUUGUGAUGUAUUCCUAGGCCCAAGACACAAUGAUGUGACUUUUCACUUCUGCUUGGACCCUACACAAAGGUGGCACUGUGAUAUAUCAUGGGGCUCAUCACCUAGAUGAUGUAAUUCUUCUUUUGCUUGGGCCUUGCCCACAAAAUAAAUAGUGACAUAUUGCUGGGCAUAGCACCUAGGUGAUGUGAUACAUCUGCUCUGGCCUGUACCACAAAGGGCACUGUGACAUAUUCCUGAAUUUAGUGCUCAGGAGAUGUGACCCUGGGGCCAGAGCUGAGUCCACAAGUGGAUUGAGAUGUAUUCCUUGCCCAGAACCUAGGUGACAUGACUCUUUCUUCCUGCAUGGGCCCUGACUUCUGUGAGGAUUUUGACAAUAUUACUGCGCCCUACACCCAAAUGAUGUGACUCUGCUGCCUGAGUUCUGUCAAAGGAGGGAUUGUGACCUAUCCAAUAGGCCAGAACCUACAUGACUUUCC